RNA transcript from Erinaceus europaeus (western European hedgehog), 4432 nucleotides. It is a transcript of the gene named zyg-11 related cell cycle regulator, with no coding region annotated. Lineage: Eukaryota; Metazoa; Chordata; Mammalia; Eulipotyphla; Erinaceidae. The record is from RefSeq and is a predicted model, not a curated record. The transcript is spliced from 16 exons.
GCUGUUAGCACCACCAAUGAUCCUGUGAGUGUAAAGGAGUGACUGUGCCCUGGGGGCCUAUGCUGGAGUGGCCCACCUACCAGCACUCAGCAUGGCGUCUGAUACUCCUGAGUCCUUGAUGGCCCUCUGCACUGACUUCUGCCUGCGCAACCUGGAUGGCACCCUGGGCUACCUACUGGACAAGGAGACUCUGCGACUACAUCCAGAUAUUUUCCUACCCAGCGAGAUCUGUGACCGGCUUGUCAACGAGUAUGUGGAACUGGUCAAUGCCGCCUGCAACUUUGAGCCACACGAGAGCUUCUUCAGCCUCUUCUCAGAUCCCCGAAGCACCCGCCUUACCCGGAUCCACCUCCGAGAGGACCUGGUACAGGAUCAGGACCUGGAGGCCAUUCGUAAACAGGACCUGGUCGAGCUGUACCUGACCAAUUGUGAGAAGCUGUCCGCCAAGAGCCUGCAGACGCUGAGGAGCUUCAGCCACACCCUGGUUUCCCUGAGCCUCUUUGGCUGUGCAAACAUUUUCUAUGAGGAAGAGAACCCAGGGGGCUGUGAGGACGAGUGCCUCGUCAACCCCACCUGCCAAGUGCUGGUCAAGGACUUCACCUUUGAAGGCUUUAGUCGCCUACGCUUCCUCAAUUUGGGCCGAAUGAUCGACGGGGUCCCUGUGGAGUCCCUACUGCGGCCGCUCAGCUCGCUGGCUGCCUUGGACCUCUCAGGCAUCCAGACGAGUGAUGCCGCCUUCCUAACCCAGUGGAAAGACAGCCUGGUGUCUCUCGUGCUCUACAACAUGGACCUGUCAGAUGACCACAUUCGGGUCAUUGUUCAGCUACACAAGCUGCGACACCUCGACAUCUCCCGGGACCGCCUCUCUAGCUACUACAAGUUCAAGCUGACUCGCAAGGUGCUGAGCCUCUUCGUGCAGAAACUGGGGAACCUAAUGUCUCUGGACAUAUCUGGACACAUGAUCCUGGAAAACUGUAGCAUCUCCAAGAUGGAAGAGGAAGCAGGGCACACCAGCAUUGAGCCUUCCAAGAGCAGCAUCAUGCCUUUCCGGGCUCUGAAAAGGCCACUGCAGUUCCUCGGGCUUUUCGAGACCUCCCUGUGCCGCCUCACCCACAUUCCAGCCUACAAAGUCAGUGGUGACAAAGACGAGGAGCAGGUGCUGAAUGCUAUCGAGGCCUACACGGAGCACCGGCCGGAGAUCACCUCUAGGGCCAUCAACCUGCUUUUUGACAUUGCGCGCAUUGAGCGCUGCAACCAGCUGCUCCGGGCCCUGAAGCUGGUCAUCACAGCCCUCAAAUGCCACAAGUACGACAAGAACAUUCAAGUGACAGGCAGCGCAGCCCUCUUCUACCUGACCAAUUCCGAGUACCGUUCUGAGCAAAGUGUCAAGCUGCGCCGGCAAGUCAUCCAGGUGGUGCUGAAUGGCAUGGAAUCCUACCAGGAGGUGACGGUCCAGCGGAACUGCUGCCUGACCCUGUGCAACUUCAGCAUCCCUGAGGAGCUGGAGUUCCAGUAUCGUCGGGUCAACGAGCUCCUACUCAGCAUCCUCAACCCCACACGGCAGGAUGAGUCUAUCCAGCGCAUCGCCGUGCACCUGUGCAAUGCCCUGGUCUGCCAGGUGGACAAUGACCACAAGGAGGCCGUGGGCAAGAUGGGCUUUGUUGUGACCAUGCUGAAGCUGAUUCAGAAGAAACUUCUGGACAAGAUAUGUGACCAGGUGAUGGAAUUCUCCUGGAGUGCCCUGUGGAACAUCACGGAUGAGACACCGGACAAUUGCGAGAUGUUCCUCAACUUCAAUGGCAUGAAGCUCUUCUUAGACUGCCUGAAGGAAUUCCCAGAGAAGCAGGAACUGCAUCGGAAUAUGCUGGGACUCUUGGGGAACGUGGCAGAGGUGAAGGAGUUGCGGCCCCAGCUGAUGACUUCCCAAUUCAUUAGUGUCUUCAGCAACCUACUGGAGAGCAAAGCUGAUGGGAUCGAGGUGUCCUACAAUGCCUGCGGAGUCCUCUCCCACAUCAUGUUUGAUGGACCUGAGGCCUGGGGCAUCUGUGAGCCCCAGAGGGGGGAGGUGGAGGAGCGCAUGUGGGCAGCCAUCCAGAGCUGGGACAUCAACUCACGGAGAAAUAUUAACUACAGGUCUUUUGAGCCAAUUCUCCGCCUCCUUCCCCAAGGCAUCUCUCCUGUCAGCCAGCACUGGGCCACCUGGGCCCUGUACAACCUUGUUUCUGUCUACCCGGACAAAUACUGCCCUCUGUUGAUCAAAGAAGGAGGAAUGCCACUUCUGAGGGAUAUGAUCAAGAUGGCGACUGCACGGCAAGAGACCAAGGAAAUGGCCCGCAAGGUGAUCGAGCACUGCAGUAACUUUAAAGAGGAGAACAUGGACACUUCCAGAUAGAUACCUCCGCCCCACAACCACUGCUGCUCUGGACCACAAGGAUGGGAGGAAGCGCUGUCAUGCAGCCUAGCUGGCAGACCCCACCAGGGAGCCUUCCACUGGAUGAAAGGACACGGGGACUUUUGCACAACCGACGCUUUUCCUUAACAUUACCCUGAGCCCAGAUAUUGAGCAUACAGCCAACAGCUGGACCAACAGGGGCCCCCACCAGGAGGCUCAGCUUGACAGUGGAAACAGACUAAAUAUGAGUUACCAGCAGCCUGGAAGCUGGCACAGCACCGGACUGGAACACAUGAAGUCCUUACUAAGGUUGAUCCCUGACCCCACUAUAGUGAUGCUCUAAUUUUCUGUCUCUCACACAUCAGGAAAAGGGCAUGCAGAGAAGGAACCUGUGGCUGAUGGGAGUGCACAGGGGUGACUAGCGACAGGGGGCGGAGUUGAGGGACAGCAUGGUGUUCCCCAUACUGUUGGGAGGCUUCUUACAAGAGGAGACAUGAGCAAGAUCCAGCAAAAUGAACAGCCAACCCAGCCCAGUCCUGGGGGCCUAGAAGCCUGUAGGACAGAGGGCCCCCUGGGAGCAGGACCAUGAAGGGAGAGGCAUGUGGCAGUCUGCGUGGCUGCAGCUGAGUGAGGGACAGGGACACAAGCAUGGGGGAUACACCGUGGAACCAAAAGGUAAGGUGGGCAGACAGGUAUAUAUCCUUUGUUCCAGUGUUACCGCCAAUGGUGCCUUUGAGGCUGCUCCCAGUGGGGAAGGGCUGUUCCCCAAAGAAUCAUCUGGGUGCUGGUACCAGAUCUAAAGGGAACAUUGCUACACUCUGGGCGGUUGUGUGCCCAGUGCCAAAGUACCUCUGACUAAAUCAUAGCCAGAUUUUUCUGAUCCUUCUCAACUAAGCCUCAGCCCUGGUCUAUAAGAACUGUAGGCCGCCAGGACCAGAUGGUGGUCCACCUUGUAGAGUGCACACAUUACAGUGCACAAGGACUCAGGUUCAAGUCUCCAGUCCCCACCUGCAGGGGAGAAGCUUCAUGACUGGUGAAGCAGUGCUGCUUCUCCAUGUCCUCAUUCCUUCUCAAUUUCUCUGUCUCUAUCCAAAGCAAUAGAAAAGAAUUAAUUAAAAAAAAAAAAAAAACAACAAACUAUAGCCCCGGGAAGUGACUCAGUGGACAAGUUGGGCUCUCCAACGUGAGGCCCUAAAUUCAGUCCCCGGCAUCAUGUAUACUGAAGUGAUACUUGGUGUUCUCUCCCCUUCUGUCACCACCUAUUAAUAGACAAAUGCAAAACAAACAAACAAAAUAGCCCUCACCUGAAUAGUACAUGUCAUAUGCCUUGUGUGUGGCCCAGGUUUGAGCCCCAGAGUCACAUGGGAGAUGCUGAGGCACUGUAGGAAGCUCUGUUACUGCAGUCUCAAUCUCUUCCCUACCUACAUACAUAGUUUAAAGUUAAAGUUGCAAUCUAGGGGCUGGGGAGACAGGAUAAUGAUUAUGCAAAGGACUCUCAUGCCAGAGGCUCCAAGUUCCAAGGUUCAGUUCUCAGCACUACUAUAAGCCAGAGUUGAGCAGUGUGCUCUGGUGUCUCUCUCCAAUCUCUGUAUCUCUGUCACUAAAAUAAAAUAUUUUUUCAGUAAUUGCAACUGGGGGUGGGUGGUCAAGGGGUGGCACACCUGAUUAAGCACACAUAGUAUGAAGCACAAGGACCCAAGCAAGGAUCAGGGUUCAAGCCCUUGGCUCCACACCUGCAGGGGCGGAAGCUUCACAAGCAGAGAAGCAGGUCUUCAGGUGUCUAUCUUUCUCUCUCUCUAUUGCCCCCUCCUCUUUCAAUUUCUCUCUGUCCUAUCCAAUAAAAUUGAAAAAAAAAAAAAAAUGGCUGUCAGGAGCAAUGGAUUCAUAGUGCUGGCACCACACCCCAAAGAUAACCCUGAAAGCAAAAGCAAAAAAAAAAAAAAAUUGCAACUUGGCUGGCUGGUUUGCAUAUGCUAAAACAAAUGCUCUGGUUCUCUCACCCAUUAGUGAGUGAAUGAAUGAAUGAAUGAAUGAAUGAAU